Molecule: ribosomal RNA, 491 nt
Filed under: uncultured bacterium
Lineage: Bacteria
Description: partial 16S ribosomal RNA
Rfam family: Bacterial small subunit ribosomal RNA
Source: RNAcentral
AGUGAACGCUGGCGGUAGGCCUAACACAUGCAAGUCGAACGGCAGCACAGUAAGAGCUUGCUCUUACGGGUGGCGAGUGGCGGACGGGUGAGGAAUACAUCGGAAUCUACUUUUUCGUGGGGGAUAACGUAGGGAAACUUACGCUAAUACCGCAUACGACCUACGGGUGAAAGCAGGGGAUCUUCGGACCUUGCGCGAUUGAAUGAGCCGAUGUCGGAUUAGCUAGUUGGCGGGGUAAAGGCCCACCAAGGCGACGAUCCGUAGCUGGUCUGAGAGGAUGAUCAGCCACACUGGACCUGAGACACGGUCCAGACUCCUACGGGAGGCAGCAGUGGGGAAUAUUGGACAAUGGGCGCAAGCCUGAUCCAGCCAUACCGCGUGGGUGAAGAAGGCCUUCGGGUUGUAAAGCCCUUUUGUUGGGAAAGAAAAGCAGCAGGUUAAUACCCCGCUGUUCUGACGGGACCCAAAGAAUAAGCACCGGCUAACUUCGU